UACGUAGGGUGCGAGCGUUAAUCGGAAUUACUGGGCGUAAAGCGUGCGCAGGCGGUUUUGUAAGCCAGAUGUGAAAUCCCCGGGCUUAACCUGGGAAUGGCAUUUGGGACUGCAAGGCUUGAGUGCGGCAGAGGAGACUGGAAUUCCAGGUGUAGCGGUGAAAUGCGUAGAUAUCUGGAGGAAUACCGGUGGCGAAGGCGGCAUCCUGGACCGACAUUGACGCUGAUGAGCGAAAGCUAGGGGAGCAAACGGG
RNAcentral lists this ribosomal RNA (253 nucleotides) under uncultured bacterium. RNAcentral describes it as "partial 16S ribosomal RNA". It matches the Rfam family "Bacterial small subunit ribosomal RNA", at positions 524 to 776 of the family's 1533-position model. The record is from RNAcentral.